AUCAAAAAGCACACCUUGCAUGUCAUUAUAGGCUUCAUACUGGAGAGAAACCUUACAAGUGUAAUGAGUGUGGCAAGACCUUCAGUCAGAAGUCAUCCCUUGUGGGCCAUCGUAGACUUCAUACCGGAGAAAAACCUUACAACUGUCAUGAGUGUGGCAAGACCUUUGCUCGAAAUUCAUCCCUUCUAAUUCAUAAGGCAAUUCAUACUGGAGAGAAACCUUACAAGUGUAAUGAAUGUGGCAAGGUUUUUAAUCAACAGUCAAACCUUGCACAACAUCAGAGAGUUCAUACUGGAGAGAAACCUUACAGGUGUAAUGAGUGUGGCAAGACCUUCAGUCAUAUGUCAUCCUUUGUAUACCAUUAUAGACUUCAUAGUGGAGAGAAACCUUACAAGUGCAAUGAGUGUGGCAAGACCUUCAGUCAUAUGUCAUCCUUUGUAUGCCAUCAUAGACUUCAUACUGGAGAAAAUCCUUAUAAGUGCAAUGAGUGUGGCAAAGCCUUUAGUGGGCAGUCAUCACUUAUUCAUCAUCAAGCAAUCCAUGGUAUAGGGAAACUUUACAAAUGUAAUGAUUCUCACAAAGUCCUCAGUAAUGCUACAAGCAUUGCAAAUCAUUAGAGAAUCCAUAAUGAAGAGAGAUCUUACAAGUGUAGUAAAUGUGGCAGAUAUUUCAGACAUUGUUCAUAGCUUGCAGUUCAUCAGUGAACUCAUACUGGAAAGAAACGUUACAAAUGUCAUGAUUGCAGCAAGGUCUUCAGUCAAGCUUCAUCUUAUGCAAAACACAGGAGAAUUCAUAUGGGAGAGAACCUCACAACUGUGAUAAUUGUGGCAGUCAUUUUUUUUUCUUUUUUCAGAUGAAGUCUUACUCUUUUGUCCAGGCUGGGGUGCAGUGGCGUGAUCUCGGCUCACGGCAACCUCCACCUCCCAGGUUCAUACGAUUCUCCUUCCUAGCCUCCUGAGUAGCUGGGACUACAAGCAUGCUCCACCAAGCCUGGCUAAUUUUUAUGUUUUUAGUAGAGACAGGGUUUCACCAUGUUGGCCUGGUUGCUCUCAACUCUUGAUCUUGUGAUCCGCCUGCCUCGGCCUCCCAAAGUGCUGGUAUUACAGGCAUGAGCCACCACGCCCAGUGUGGCAAUGUCUUUACUUUACAUUCACACCGCAUUAGACAUCAGGGAAUCUAUACUGGACAGAAAUCUUACAAAUGGAAUAGGUGUGGCAAUGUCUUUAGUCUGAGGUCACUCCUUGCAGAACAGUAGAAAAUUCAUUUUUGAGAUAAUUGUCCCAAAUACAAUGACUAUAGAAAAUGACAAACUUUAAUUGACAUUAGAGUCAAUUCUGCAUUGACUAGAGUUUGAGUUGACUUAACAUUGAGUUCAAGCAUUAAUUGACAUAAAAAGUGUUUACGUCAAGAAGAAUGGGCAGGGUGCAGUUGCUCACACCUAUAAUCCCAGCACUUUGGGAGGCCAAGGCAGGCAGAUCACUUGAGGUCAGCAGUUUGAGACCAGCUGGGCCAACAGACCUGAACCAGUUUGCCCAGCCUGUUUUUUCUUUCCUUCUUUCUUUCUUUUCUUUUCUUUCUUUCUUUUUUUUUUUUUUUUUUUUGAGACAGAGUCUUUCUCUUGUCGCCCAAGCUGGCGUGCAAUGGCACAAUCUUGGUUCACUGCAACCUCCACCUCCUGCAUUCAAGCAAUUCUCUUUUCUAAGCCUCCCAAGUAGCUGGGAUUUCAGAUGUGUGCCACCACACCACAUAGUCCCUCUCCACAGAGAUGGUUGAGAAGGCUGAUGGAAAAGCCAGAUACUUGUUCUACAGCUUUCCCUGACACUAGUAUAUCAUCCACAUACUGGAGCAUAGAUAUACACUUUGGGAUGCUCAUCUUUUCUAACACCUCCUCAAGAAUUUGGCCAAACAAGUUAGGAGAAUCUGUAAAUCCUUGGGGUAAGACUGUCCAGCAGUAUUGUUGUUUUCACCCAGAGUGAGAAUCUUCCCAUUCAAAAGUGAAUAUAUCCUGACUAUCUUCAGCUAAAGGACAUGCCCAGAAGGCAUCUUUCAGGUCUAUUUCUGUAAACCACUGAUGGUCAUAUGGAAUUUUGCUGAGAAUAGUAUAUGGAUUGGGAACAACAGGAUGAGUGGUUUGAACAGUUUGAUUAAUGGCUUGAAGAUCUUCUACAAGUCAGUAUCACCAAUCUGACUACUUUACAAGUAAUAUUGGAGUAGUAUAGGGAGACAUGCACAGUUCAAGUAGCCCAUCUCAGAUAAGGCUCUCAAUUAGAGGUUUUAAACCUAAUCUACCUUCUAAGGGAAUUGGAUAUUGGUUUCUUUUCACUGUUUCCCUGGGAGUUUUUAACUUUAUGUGAAUUGGAGGAACUUGUAGCUUCCUUCAAUUUCCCUCCCUUGACCACUCAUUAGCAUUGAUGUAGCUUUCUUCUGCUGUAGUAAACAGGUUUAAUGAAGUGAAGAAUCCUUCUGGGCUUACACGCAAGCCUAUACCUAACUUUGCCAUUAGGCCACUUCCUAACAAGUUUGUCCCAGCCUUAGGAAGUAGCAAAAAUUUAACAUUGGUUGAUCGGGUUUCAAAUCUGACUUCUGUUUUUUCUGAGACUUUGGCUUUAAAUCCUUCCCCUUUGACUCCUAAAACUUGAAGUUCUUCUAAUAAACAAUUUAUAUUAGAGGGCACAAAACAAACAGAGGAGUGGGAAGCUCCUGAGUCUAUUAGAAAAGUAAUAAGUUCGGCUGGGUGCCAUGGCUCACACCUGUAGUCCCAGCACUUUGGGAGGCCAAGGUGGGCGGAUCACCUGAGGUCGAGAGUUCGAGACCAGCCUGACCCACAUGGAGAAACCCCAUCUUUACUAAAAAUACAAAAUUAGCCAGACUUUGUGGCACAUGCCUAUAAUACUAGCUACUUGGGAAGGCUGAGGCAGGAGAAUCACGUGAACCUGGGAGGUAGAGGUUGCAGUGAGCCAAGAUCACGCCAUUGCACUCCAUCCUGGGCAACAAGAACAAAACUCUGUCUCAAAAAAAAAAAAGAAAGAAAAGUAACAAGCUCAUGUUUUGGUCCCACCUUUAAAUUUACCACGGGCUCUCAGUGGGACUGGAGAUAGAAAAGACAGAGCCCUUGACUUCCUUAUUCUUUAAAUUCCUUAAGUGGGAUUUUUUUUUCUCCUUUCUCCACUCAGGACAUUCUCUUUUGAAAUGACCUAAUUUUCCACACUUGUAACAUUUGUCUUGUCCCUCUCCCUUUUCAGUUUUUGGAGUCUUAGGGUACUGGGUUUGCUUUCCCUUUUUACCUGUCUUUGAGUUCUGUGGCCCCCCUGUCUCAUAUCUUUUGUGAGGCCUGGCAAAUGGAGGCUUAAGCUUGGCCUCUGGUGCAUUCUGUCAGAAAAUUUUUCUUUUUGCUUUGGUUUUUCUUCAUCCCUCCUUACAUAUACUUUUUGAGCUUAUUCUAAGAAUUCCCGUAUAGACUGUUUUUUCCAGUUUUCUAGUUUCUGUAACUUUUUUUGCAAUGGCUUGCUAAAUGGCUACCAAUGGCUAGCUAUUGGUAACAAAAUGUAGCUUUAACAUUUCUUGCCUGCUAGGGUCUUCUGGAUCCAAAUGUGCAUAUUUUCUCAUUUGUUCUCAUAGUCUUUUUAGAAAGUUUUUAGGGCUUUCAUCUUUUUUCUGUUUUAUCUAAAAUGCUCGGGGAAGAUUCUGAGCACAGGGCACUGACUCCUGAAUUCCUUUAAUUAUCAUUUCCCUUAUAUCUUUCAUGAAUUUUUAGUGGACUGUGUCGUUAUCCCAUUGAGGAUCUUGGGUCGGGAAUUUCUGGUCUACAAUGGGAACGUUUUGGCUGGAUAGGUAUUUACGUUCCCAAACUCUCAUAGCAGUCCUGCAAAUCAACUGCCUUAUAUAUAAUACUCCAAUAUUACCUGUAAAGUUGUCAGAUGUGUCAUACCGGCUCAUACAAGAUCUUUUGUAUCAUUUUAUAAAACGAUACAAAAGCUGCAAAGCCACCAGCCUGCCUGCUUCCCUUGGAGAAGUUGGGACUUCCUGACAACUGCACAAACUCACGUGGGGGAUUUCAAUAUCCCAAAGCAUGCAGAUUCCUGGUGUGGCUGGAAUUGGUGCUGGGGUGCUGCGAAAGCCAGGUUUGAAGCAGGAAGACAAAAAAACCACUCACCUGUGUCAGCCUCGAGUGCUGAAGAACAACCGUGUGUGGGCCUUCAACCCUGUCUGGGUGGGUUCUGGACAGUGGGUGGGGACCCGGCGGGAGAAGGGAAAGGUCGUUGAGGGGGCAGGGCAUGAAAACUGUCGCUGGAGCUGGGCAAGAGGGUGGAGGCUGCUUUGGAAGCUGGGCCUGGUUAGAGGGUGGAGGUGGAGGUAGGGCCUGGAGUUUCAAGCUUCAGCCAUGCAUAGACUAGUCAGCUUCUGGUGUGUGACUAGAACAGGGCUUGUUCCCUCAAGCUUCAGCUGUGCAUAGACUGGUCAGACUCCGUAGUGACUAGAGCAGGCAGUCUUCUUUAGCAGCAGGUUGAUCUCAUCUCAGGAUGAGUUGGAUGAUCUGGGUCCUGCUGGCUUGUCUACUUGUCUUGAGCUGCCAGUUUCAGCUGACUGUGGUGGAUCUAAGGCACAACACCUGCAACUUUAACAGCAGCGGGACUGAACAAGAUUACAGUAUAGGGCUUAUAUUGUAUGAGUCUUAGAGAAGUUGGAUUCUACAUAGCUGGUGGCCUUGUAGCUGUGUCAAAAAAAAGAACUGGCUAAAUACAGACAUUUGUAAAACAUAGUCAUGCUUAAGAGACUAGGGAAAUGAGUAACAGUAGAAGAAUUUGUCUUUCUCUCUCUCUUUCUUUUUUUUUUUUUUUUUUUUUUUUUG
Molecule: long non-coding RNA, 4849 nt
Filed under: Homo sapiens (human)
Lineage: Eukaryota; Metazoa; Chordata; Mammalia; Primates; Hominidae
Description: LHRI_LNC395.1
Source: RNAcentral